Pelobates cultripes (western spadefoot toad) is the source of this 214-nucleotide non-coding RNA. The record is from the annotation of a GenBank genome assembly. Lineage: Eukaryota; Metazoa; Chordata; Amphibia; Anura; Pelobatidae.
UUUUUCUCUUUGUCUUAAAUUAACUCUUACAGAGUUCUAAAAUAAUCCAAGCCUAUGUAGAAGCAGAUUGGGUAAAAAUUUGAAUUGAGUGCUCUUAAAGGGACACUAUGGGCACUCAAACCACUUCACCAUAAUUAAGUGGUGCGGGUGCCAUGUCCCCUCAUUUUAACACUAUCCUUUAAAUCCAAAAGGCUCAUCACAAAGCCAGAAUCUG